UAUAAAUGUAAAAUUUUAUAUUUUAUUAGUAUUAGUUAUUUUCUUGAAAAUAAAAAAUUUUGGCGGUAUUUUAGUCUAUUUAGAGGAACCUGUUCUAUAAUUGAUAAUCCACAAUUAAUUUUACUUUAUUUAAAAGUUUAUAUAUCGUCGUUUUUAAAAAUUUUAUAAGAAUAUAAUUUUUAAUAAAUUUAAUUUAAUUUUAAAUCAGAUCAAGGUGUAGUUUAUAAUAAAGUAGAAAUGGGUUACAAUAAAUUUAUUUAAUAAUGAAUUAGAAUUUGAAAAAGUUUUAUGAAGGUGGAUUUAAUAGUAAAAUGAAUUAAUUAAUUUAUUUGAUUUUAGCUCUAAAAUAUGU
RNAcentral lists this ribosomal RNA (352 nucleotides) under Australphilus saltus. RNAcentral's name for it is "partial 12S ribosomal RNA". The record is from RNAcentral. Lineage: Eukaryota; Metazoa; Arthropoda; Insecta; Coleoptera; Dytiscidae.